Molecule: long non-coding RNA, 881 nt
Organism: Capra hircus (goat)
Lineage: Eukaryota; Metazoa; Chordata; Mammalia; Artiodactyla; Bovidae
Exons: 2
Source: RefSeq, a predicted model, not a curated record
AGUCCUCCAGUUUGGAGAAUGCCGGUCUAGAAAGAGGAGGAGGAGACAGUGGGAAGCAGGGUCAUAUGGCUGCACAGGCUGCUGCAAAGAUGAGCGGUGAUAACGCAGGGAGAGGUGGGUCUGGCUCGAAGGGGCGGCUUGGAAAUCAAGUCCAGGAGAAGAAAAGCCCCGUCCAGGUCUCAGAGAAAAGGCAAUCAUCACUGGUGGGUUUGGACUAAAUGCCCUUUCAAAGAUCCUUUCAGUCUUGAGACUGAAAAUCGUUUCCAUAUCGAUGGGAUCUGCCCCGGGUGGGGCUUCCCACAGUCUUGGCAGCUCACCCCAAGGAAAGAGAACGCCUGGCUCCUACUGCCCUGGAGACAGCUCAGGUCCAUUCCCCCAUCUCCUCCUCGAUUUUGCUUAAACAUCUUGUCACCUUCUUGGCAAGACCUACUCUGACCACCAUCUUAAAGAUGGUAACUUGCACCCUGAACAACCCUUUUUGCUUGGCUUGAGUCCUUUUCCCAUAGUAUCUGUCGCUUUCUCACAUAUUAAAUACAUGUUCUCAUAUACUAAAGAUAAUUUUAAAAAUAUUUCUUUAAAGGAAAAAGUUGGCUAAUGCAUAAAGAUGCUCAUUGUAAUGCCUACUGUAAGCAGGAACUGGAAAACCCUGAACAUCUGCACACGUAUGUUCCUACAGUCUCCUAGUGAAUUUCACAGUCAACAGAAAUGAUCAUCUGGAAUACUGUGUAGUGACAAAAACGCAAAGCAAAACGUCAGACUUUCCUCUAUUUAAGAUAACUGUGAAAAAAUGUGUUUGGACAUGGACAUGGGAACAUGGAAACUUGAAGACAGUGUUAGCAUGGUAUAUAGGUUUGGGUGAAUUUCCUGCUGUUAAAGUUUAA